AACGAACGCUGGCGGCAUGCCUAACACAUGCAAGUCGAACGAGACCUUCGGGUCUAGUGGCGCACGGGUGCGUAACGCGUGGGAACCUGCCCUUAGGUUCGGAAUAACUCCCCGAAAGGGGUGCUAAUGCCGGAUAAUGUCUUCGGACCAAAGAUUUAUCGCCUUUGGAUGGGCCCGCGUUGGAUUAGCUAGUUGGUAGGGUAAAAGCCUACCAAGGCGACGAUCCAUAGCUGGUCUGAGAGGAUGAUCAGCCACACUGGGACUGAGACACGGCCCAGACUCCUACGGGAGGCAGCAGUGGGGAAUAUUGGACAAUGGGCGAAAGCCUGAUCCAGCAAUGCCGCGUGAGUGAUGAAGGCCUUAGGGUUGUAAAGCCCUUUUACCCGGGAUGAUAAUGACAGUACCGGGAGAAUAAGCUCCGGCUAACUCCGUG
This 433-nucleotide ribosomal RNA is filed under the name uncultured bacterium. Its description in RNAcentral is "partial 16S ribosomal RNA". It matches the Rfam family "Bacterial small subunit ribosomal RNA", at positions 29 to 507 of the family's 1533-position model. The record is from RNAcentral.